UUUCAGAAGUUAAAACCAUUAAACUCUCACCCUCAUUUCAUUUCAAACCAGUAUGGCUUUCUUCUAAGAAACACUAAAGAAGAACAAAGAAAUGCAUAGGUUUGGAACAACAUGAGGAUCUAUAUGGGUUCAGUGUGUUACCUCAGGCCACAUGGGGUGAGAGCAGCUCAAGUCCUCAUUGAGUUUCUGCACAGUCCAGCGCUGCCAGUGCUUGAGUUUCCUCCGA
Long non-coding RNA from Megalobrama amblycephala (Wuchang bream), 226 nucleotides. RefSeq lists it as uncharacterized. Lineage: Eukaryota; Metazoa; Chordata; Actinopteri; Cypriniformes; Xenocyprididae. The record is from RefSeq and is a predicted model, not a curated record. The transcript has 3 exons.